Molecule: non-coding RNA, 1834 nt
Organism: Castor canadensis (American beaver)
Lineage: Eukaryota; Metazoa; Chordata; Mammalia; Rodentia; Castoridae
Source: RefSeq, a predicted model, not a curated record
AUUUAGGUACAAUCCUUCUAAGGAUGGGCCUCUCGUUUCCAUCUUGGGUUCAGCUUGAAAUCAAAGUGAGUCCAGUUAUGUUUCCAAGCUCUGUGUAAUCCACACAGCUGCCAGGCCUAUGAGUGUUGGACUGCGCUACUUCUAAAUCUGGCCAGCAAAUCAACACAAACCCAAGCACCCAUCUGAUAAAGUUACAGAAGGCAACUCAGAUUCACAAGCCCCACCAGACCCCCACUGAAUAACACAUCGUCUGGCAACAGGAGGCGUUUGAUUACAUUUGGAAGGAAUGCCUGCAUCAACUCCAGUUGUCCCUGAAUUGUAACUGAUGGGCCUCACGUGUUGCAGCCAACAGUUUGCCUUCACCCACUCCCCUCUCUGCAAUGAACCUUUCUCUGGGAAAACAAGAAACCUACGUGCCAUCCUGAGUGACAGACGACAGGAGCUGUGAUCCUGCAGCUCAUCCCAGGCAUGAAAUCUCAAUGAAUGUGUCAGCUUGUGCCUGUCUCCACAGAUGAAGGAUUCCUUGAGGGAACAUAUUAAAUGGAAGCUGGAUCAAGUGAUGUCACAGAGGUAUUGUCAACUCAGCACUUUCAGGGUACCAGAGCUAUGGCUGUUUGUGCUUUGCAGGAUUUCAAGAGGAAGUCCCAUCACUCUCCUCCAAUUCCCCUUCCUCCGUCAUGCCCUACAUUGGGGCAUCUUUAUGAGGACUGCCUUUGUCUUAUUUAUUGCAAGCUUUUAAAAAAUUAUUGGAACACAAAUGCUUUCUUUGCAAUGCAACAGAUUUCAGUUGCAAAUGGAUUAAAACAUGAUACCUGUGCUAAAGUCCUUGAGGGAAAAGGACUAGGGAUCUCUGUGCUGAGAGACAAAAUUUGGUCAAGGACUCUUCUCUGAAAACCCUGGGGAGCCAAUGGUGGGAUGUUUGUCCUUAAAUGAUAUGGAAAGAGCACCUAGCCCAACCCAUUUCUCUUACCGAGAGGAAACUGAUACUCAGAGGGAGCAAGCAAGGCCAAGGUUUACACAGCCAGCAGCAACAGCCUCUGCAACUCCAUGGCCAGGGCUUAUAACUCUAUCAGACCUGGAGAUAAAGACAAAAACUGGCCUUCUAUCUUGGCAUGGAUCCACUUAUCCUGGCUUUUCAUCACUGCUUGUUAAUAAAUAUCCAUAGGUUGAGUCCACCGGAAGAUGUUUAUUCUGACAAAAACCAGAGAUGAGAAACUUGGAAUGCUCUAAACAUUGCCUGGAAAACUUAUUUGCGGUUAAGAGAUCUUAGUGUAUCUUUACUUGGUUAUGGUUAUAGACCAGAUAAGCAAGGCUUAAAAACAAAUUAUUCCUUCCCUACUUCCAACUUCAUUCUUGUUAGCACUCUAAAUUUCCGUGCUGGUGACUCUGAGGUGCUAUUGGUCCCUGACAUUAAGAAAUGCAGUUAGCCCAAACUGAGUUCCAAACCAAAGUAACUGAGAAAAUGCUGGAGUAUUUAUUAGAGCAAAAAGGAAGCUUAGUAAUGCUCUAGACCAUAUUCUUCACCUUAAAGAUGAAUAUACUGGGGCUGAGAGAGGUUAAUCCUGGGUUGCUCAGUACAUUAAUGGACUACAAACCACUGAUUUCACCAACCAUGUGGAAGGAAGUUCCUUCCAUUUGACAAUUAUAACACAUCUCAGGUAAUUUUUAUGAAUAAGAAAUGGAUUGUGCCCAUCUCCAGGGAGCUGAAUGCUUAUUGAAAUCUGGGCUUAAUUAAUACAUGGACAUCUGCAUGAGGCAUGGAUCAUGAGGUAUCCUCACCAUUUUUUUGUGUGUGUGUGUGAUACUCAGGCUUGAACUCAGGGUCUACACCGUG